GUCAGCUAAGUGGCGGACGGGUGAGUAAUGUAUAGUUAAUCUGCCCUUUAGAGAGGGAUAACUACUGGAAACGGUAGCUAAUACCUCAUACUCCUUUUAUUUUAAUGAUAAUUGGGAAAUGUUUUUUCGCUAAAGGAUGAGACUAUAUGGUAUCAGGUAGUUGGUGGGGUAAGAGCCUACCAAGCCAAUGACGCCUAGCUGGUCUGAGAGGAUGAUCAGCCACACUGGAACUGAGACACGGUCCAGACUCCUACGGGAGGCAGCAGUGGGGAAUAUUGCACAAUGGGGGAAACCCUGAUGCAGCAACGCCGCGUGGAGGAUGACACAUUUCGGUGCGUAAACUCCUUUUAUAUGGGAAGAUAAUGACGGUACCAUAUGAAUAAGCACCGGCUAACUCCGUGCCAGCAGCCGCGGUAAUACGGAGGGUGCAAGCGUUACUCGGAAUCACUGGGCGUAAAGCGCGCGCAGGCGGCUAUUUAAGUUGGAUGUGAAAGCCUACAGCUCAACUGUAGAACUGCAUCCAAAACUAUUUAGCUACAGUGUGGGAGAGGAAGAUGGAAUUAGUUGUGUAGGGGUAAAAUCCGUAGAGAUAACUAGGAAUACCAAAAGCGAAGGCAAUCUUCUGGAACACUACUGACGCUGAGGCGCGAAAGCGUGGGGAGCAAACGGGAUUAGAUACCCCGGUAGUCCACGCAGUAAACGAUGAAUGUUAGUCGUCGGGGGCCUAGUGUCUUCGGUGAUGCAGUUAACACAUUAAACAUUCCGCCUGGGGAGUACGGUCGCAAGAUUAAAACUCAAAGGAAUAGACGGGGACCCGCACAAGUGGUGGAGCAUGUGGUUUAAUUCGAAGAUACGCGAAGAACCUUACCUAGCCUUGACAUAUAUUAGAAUUUUUCAGAGAUGAGAGAGUGCCUUCGGGAGCUUUUAUACAGGUGCUGCACGGCUGUCGUCAGCUCGUGUCGUGAGAUGUUGGGUUAAGUCCCGCAACGAGCGCAACCCUCGUCACUAGUUACUAACGGUUCGGCCGAGGACUCUAGUGAGACUGCCUUGCAAGGAGGAGGAAGGUGAGGACGACGUCAAGUCAUCAUGGCCCUUACGGCUAGGGCAACACACGUGCUACAAU
Molecule: ribosomal RNA, 1123 nt
Filed under: uncultured bacterium
Lineage: Bacteria
Description: bacterial SSU rRNA
Rfam family: Bacterial small subunit ribosomal RNA
Source: RNAcentral